CCGAUCCACUAGGGGAGCCUUCGGGCUGAGAACAGGUCUGCCGAGACCUGGACCCUUAGAACCUGAACUGGGUAAUACCAGCGGAGGGAAGUGGACGGCCGGCCGU
The sequence is a regulatory RNA element, 106 nucleotides long. It matches the Rfam family "TPP riboswitch aptamer (THI element)". From Rfam's summary of the family: Vitamin B(1) in its active form thiamin pyrophosphate (TPP) is an essential coenzyme that is synthesised by coupling of pyrimidine and thiazole moieties in bacteria. The previously detected thiamin-regulatory element, thi box was extended, resulting in a new, highly conserved RNA secondary structure, the THI element, which is widely distributed in eubacteria and also occurs in some archaea. Analysis of operon structures identified a large number of new candidate thiamin-regulated genes, mostly transporters, in various prokaryotic organisms. The record is from Rfam.